AUGGCUCCAGGAAGGAAUAAUUAAAAGAGUAAGAUACGCGGGGCUAAUGUAUUUCAGGGGCUACAAUUACUAUAAAAAAAUACAUCGUAGUCUUUAAUAUAUAUGCUAGGCUUUUUAUUAUUCCUUAUGUCGGCUCCUCAUGGUCCCAGGAUCACCGAGGAAAGAAAUAAAAAAGUAAUUAAAAUACGCGGGGCUAUAUAGUAUUUCAGGGACUAUAUAGGGCUACAACUACUAUAAAAAUACAUCGUAGCCUUCAAUAUAUAUUCUAGACUGUUUAUUAUUCCUUAGGUCGGCUCCUCAUGGCUCCAGGAAGGAAUUAAAAAGUAAAAUACGCGGAGCUAAUGUAUUUCAGGGGCUAUAUAUAGUGCUCAAGGAAAUUAUAUAUAUCACUAUAGCUACGGGAAAUACAAUAAAUAAAUAAGGACAAUUUACAGUUUCACCCACCAACGAUUUUCUUACGCGGUUCAUGUUUUUCUGGUGAUGAUUGUAUUGAAAAGAAGUAUGGCUCGAUAAGACAUUUGCGACGGAAAUGAGGUACAAAAUCAAGCAAUUCACUACAUUUAUCACCAGAAAAACAUGAACCACAUAAGAAAACUGUAAAAUGACCAUAAAGAACCACUACAACAUUAUACAUUUACUAUAAUAACUAAAUACUGGCAGGCUAUAAGAAAUACUAACCAUAGCUACCACCGUAAAACAUAACAUAAAUAACAUAACAUAAAAUAAAAUAAGCAAAUAUAUAAUUCCUUAACUCUUAACAUGGACACCUAUUUUCAUAUAUUUCUGCAUUAAUACCUGUAUCUUCACAUAUAUCGCUUGAGGGGCAGGAUAUAUAUAUAGCAAACACGUAAUUGCCUCUGGUAUUUCAAGGCAUCAUGUAUUUAUCCGUCUAUUAACUUGCUCAUACAAACAUUAUAGUCCAUAUUUACCUAAGAUAUGCGUCACUGGCAAGCCUUAUCGUCCGUAUUACCAUGACUACCUGGGCUCAAGCAAGGGGACAGGUAUGGGACAGGUAUGAGACAGGUGUGGGACAGAUGUAGGGACAGGUGUGGGACAGGUGUAGGGACAGGUAUAGUGACAUGUGUGGGAGAGGUAUAGUGACAGAUGUGGGACAGGUAUAGUGACAGGUGUGGGAGAGGUAUAGUGACAGGUGUAGGGACAGGUGUAGUACAGGUGAGUGACAGGUGUAGGGACAGGUGUGGGACAUGUGUAAGACAGGAGUAGGGACAGGUAUAGUGACAGGUGUGGGGAUAGGUGUGGGACAGGUGUAGAGACAAGUGUGGAGACAGGUGUGGAACAGGUGUGAAGUGAUCGGCCAGGUGUGCUUCGUGUAUGCAUACUUAAUUUAACCUCCAUGAAAACAAGAAUACUAUACAAGCUUGAUGCAUUUUUUCCAUAUUUUUUUGUUUUUCCGUCUGUCAUUCCAUUUACUUUUUUGCCUUUAUCUCGGGUUUCGUUGCGUCUAUCGUCAUUUCAUUUAUUGAGGCUAAAACUACAUUCUUUUGGCUAUCUACUGGUACUUGAAACAUCCUGGUAGGGUAGACCGUUCUCUUGUAAUCUUUAAAAAUCUACCGUCUUUUUUGGCUCAUUCUUACAUACUUUUUCAAUUCUGUGUUUGUCAUUGUACUUUUUUGCGUUUUUUCUAGGGUUUAAGACUCGUAUAAGACAUAGCUGUCGGCCACCUCACUAGGCCUACUUGAAAUGCCUCUCGUGGAAGUUCUUGGGCUUUUUCAUGGACUGCUUUGUGAUCCCAGUGAUAGAUUUACACAACUUUGAGACUUUGAUCGGGCUGAGAGUUCAUUGUUCUGCGUGUCCCGGGGUUCGAAUCCAGGUCAGCCCUAUCAGAUAACGAGGCGGCAGCACUGACAGCGUGAUGAUUUCUUUGUCCGGAGAGAUAAAACGAGGACUCGAUGAUCAUUGUUGCCAAGCUUGUCAGGGAGGCCACGGAAUCACCUGUUCUUGUUCCUGUUAACCUUGUCUGUCUGUAUGAAGCAUGUUUGAUGGGUAUGUGUGUGUUUGUGUUCUCUCUCUCUCUCUCUCUCUCUCUCUCUCUCUCUCUCUCUCUCUCUCUCUCUCUCUCUCUCUCUCUCUCUCUUAUGCCCCUCCCUUCUCCUUUGUUGUUUACUUGCAACAAUAAACUAUCAGUCAAUCAAUCUCUCUCUC
Eriocheir sinensis (Chinese mitten crab) is the source of this 2163-nucleotide long non-coding RNA. RefSeq lists it as uncharacterized. The transcript is spliced from 3 exons. The record is from RefSeq and is a predicted model, not a curated record. NCBI's taxonomy places the organism in Eukaryota, Metazoa, Arthropoda, Malacostraca, Decapoda, Varunidae.